This 248-nucleotide ribosomal RNA is filed under the name uncultured bacterium. Its description in RNAcentral is "partial 16S ribosomal RNA". It matches the Rfam family "Bacterial small subunit ribosomal RNA", at positions 86 to 334 of the family's 1533-position model. The record is from RNAcentral.
UGUAAGUUAGCGGCGGACGGGUGAGUAACGCGUGGGUAACCUGCCUUACACUGGGGGAUAACAGUUAGAAAUGACUGCUAAUACCGCAUAAGCGCACAGGGCCGCAUGGUCCGGUGUGAAAAACUCCGGUGGUGUAAGAUGGACCCGCGUCUGAUUAGGUAGUUGGUGGGGUAACGGCCCACCAAGCCGACGAUCAGUAGCCGACCUGAGAGGGUGACCGGCCACAUUGGGACUGAGACACGGCCCAA